RNAcentral lists this ribosomal RNA (253 nucleotides) under uncultured bacterium. RNAcentral describes it as "partial 16S ribosomal RNA". It matches the Rfam family "Bacterial small subunit ribosomal RNA", at positions 524 to 776 of the family's 1533-position model. The record is from RNAcentral.
GACGUAGGGCGCGAGCGUUGUCCGGAUUUAUUGGGCGUAAAGAGCUCGUAGGCGGCUUGUUGCGUCGACUGUGAAAACCCGCGGCUUAACCGCGGGCUUGCAGUUGAUACGGGCAGGCUAGAGUUCGGUAGGGGAGACUGGAAUUCCUGGUGUAGCGGUGAAAUGCGCAGAUAUCAGGAGGAACACCGGUGGCGAAGGCGGUUCUCUGGGCCUGACCUGACGCUGAGGAGCGAAAGCGUGGGGAGCGAACAGG